GGGUCACCUCCCACCCGUGUCUAUCGUACCUUGUUGCUUCGGCGGGCCCGCCGUUUCGACGGCCGCCGGGGAGGCCUUGCGCCCCCGGGCCCGCGCCCGCCGAAGACCCCAACAUGAACGCUGUUCUGAAAGUAUGCAGUCUGAGUUGAUUAUCGUAAUCAGUUAAAACUUUCAACAACGGAUCUCUUGGUUCCGGCAUCGAUGAAGAACGCAGCGAAAUGCGAUAAGUAAUGUGAAUUGCAGAAUUCAGUGAAUCAUCGAGUCUUUGAACGCACAUUGCGCCCCCUGGUAUUCCGGGGGGCAUGCCUGUCCGAGCGUCAUUGCUGCCCUCAAGCACGGCUUGUGUGUUGGGCCCCCGUCCCCCUCUCCCGGGGGACGGGCCCGAAAGGCAGCGGCGGCACCGCGUCCGGUCCUCGAGCGUAUGGGGCUUUGUCACCUGCUCUGUAGGCCCGGCCGGCGCCAGCCGACACCCAACUUUAUUUUUCUAAGGUUGACCUCGGAUCAGGUAGGGAUACCCGCUGAACUUAAGCAUAUCAAUAAG
RNAcentral lists this ribosomal RNA (541 nucleotides) under Aspergillus fumigatus. RNAcentral's name for it is "eukaryotic LSU rRNA". The stretch from base 167 to 320 matches the Rfam family "5.8S ribosomal RNA". Lineage: Eukaryota; Fungi; Ascomycota; Eurotiomycetes; Eurotiales; Aspergillaceae. The record is from RNAcentral.